UACCCUUCGCAGUCAUGCGAUCCACCGCAAAAUCCAGUUGAAACUUCAUCCUCCGAUGGCAGCGGAUCAGAACCUGAUGCUGACUCUGAGCCAGACCACAGCGAGCGGCAGUGCAUGGAGGACUGCAAGGACGAGCUGGAUGAAGACCUGUUUCCAGGAUCCAAGGUAACAAGAGCUGAAAGCUUGUUGAUGGUAAUGGCUCACAGCCUGCGCCAUGGUUCUUCAAAGGAAGCCACAGAAAGCUUACUCCAGCUUCUGAGUGCUCAUUUGCCGGCAGGAGUGUCUUACCCAACAUCAAAGUACACCUUCUUUCGGCACUUCUGUGGUGCUGGCAAGCAAUAUGUAAAGCACUUUUAUUGCAGCAGAUGCAGUGCAUACAUCGGCGAACUGGUGCAAGCAGAAAAUGUGACAUGCAACCAGUGCAGCUUAGCACAUAUUGGUGAAACCUUAAUGAAAAGUUCAUCUUUUUUUCUUGUUAUGGAUCUAAAGAGCCAAAUCCGUGACAUCUUGGAAUCAAAAAGUCUGCAAGAAACCAAGAAAGCUGCAUCUUUUGAUGUGAGUGACAUUACUCAGAGUUAUCAGUACCACAAGUUGCCAUUGGGACCAAAUGAUGUCACUUUAACUUUUAAUACUGAUGGUGUGCCCCUUUUUGAAAACUCUAAAUCCAGUAUGUGGCCUCUGCUUGCAAUGAUAAAUGAGCUUCCCUACAAGCAACGUAUUGAGAACCUCCUGCUAGCAGGACUUUGGUUUGGUCCAGGAAAGCCAGCAAUGAACUGUUUUUUAAUUCCUUUUAUAAAGGCCAUGAAUGAGCUGUCAUCGAGUGGAAUUCUGUGGAACGACAAAGAUGGAGUGCAGCAGACGUCAAAGGUGUUCCCAGGUCCAUGUGCUGUGGAUAGUGUCGCUAGGUGUGAGCUGAUGAACAUGACUCAGUUUAAUGGUGCAUAUGGGUGUGCAUGGUGCGAAGACCAGGGACAAGUUGUUCCUAAAGGCAAGGGAUUUUGUCGCGUAUAUCCGCCAAGUGCCUCAACACCCAAGCUGAGAACACAUGAAUCCUUUCUUCGGCAUGCCAGAAAAGCUAAGGAAUCCCCAAGUUGCGGCAUCAAAGGAGCAAGCGCACUCACACAGCUUGCAUUUUUCAGAUUUGGUACAGGAUUUGUUGUGGACUAUAUGCAUGCUGUUUGUUUAGGAUUUGUUAGGGCUACAUAUUUCACGUGGCUGAAGUCUGAGCGCUGCCGAAAAUUUCAUCUUCGACGUAAUCUUGAGGAUGCAAACAGCUGUCUGUUGAGCCUCACUCCAACGUGGGAGCUGUCAAGGCUCCCGAGGUCAUUGCAUGAUGCAAAGGACUGGAAGGCUGCCGAGUGGAGAAAUUGGCUGCUAUAUUAUUCACCACUAGUACUGAAAGGGCGCCUUCCAGAAAAGUACUACAAACACUGGAUGCGAUUUGUGGAAAUUAUGCAUCACCUCCUUGGCCCGUGCAUCUGUGUUGAGCAGCUGGUCAUGAUGAAAAAAGAAAUGACACAGUUUCUAUUGGAGUAUGAGGAGUUUUAUGGUACAGAGUGCAUGAGUUAUAAUUCUCACUUGCUUACGCACCUUGUGGACAGUGUCAUCAACUGGGGACCCUUGUGGGCAUAUUCCCUCUACCCAUUUGAGUCAAUGAAUGGAACACUAGGUCGGCUUGUAUGUGGAACCAGGUAUCCGCAAUUCCAGAUUGCUGACAAAUUUUGCAUCUUACAGGCCCAAACUAAAUUGUGGUCAUCGAGACACAUAGAGAAAGUGCACAGAACUCUAGAGACUUCUUUCAAAGCUCUUGUGAAGGGCUACUCCUUGCGAAAAAAUGUCGUCAGCGUUGGUUCUGUGUUACUGCUAGGCAAGGGAGACCAGAAAGCAGACAGGAAAGAAUUUCACAAGAUGGUAAUUGGGUCAUUUCGUUUCUGCACAGCACGUCUUGACAAAUCGAAAAGAAAAAAUUCUUACGUACACGCGAA
This is a long non-coding RNA of Dermacentor albipictus, 1985 nucleotides long. RefSeq lists it as uncharacterized. Lineage: Eukaryota; Metazoa; Arthropoda; Arachnida; Ixodida; Ixodidae. The record is from RefSeq and is a predicted model, not a curated record.